This is a long non-coding RNA of Dreissena polymorpha, 714 nucleotides long. RefSeq lists it as uncharacterized. The record is from RefSeq and is a predicted model, not a curated record. The transcript has 2 exons. NCBI's taxonomy places the organism in Eukaryota, Metazoa, Mollusca, Bivalvia, Myida, Dreissenidae.
UUUUGCCUUUUCAUUAACAUUUCAAUCAAAAAUAACAUUUGUGAAAAACUUAGUCAAUGAUUAUAACUAAAGUUAAAAAUGUGGACACUGUAAGUUAAUUGACUUUGGCUUCCAAUCUGCAGUUUACAAAGUUGCUUGUUAUAGGAGUAUUCGUGCAAAUGGAUAUCCUGCAAGGAAGACUUCCACUCCAUAGGACAGCAAGAUGCACAUAUCAUCUCUCAUGUGGUUCAAGAGAAAUGCUGUAGAUGGGGAGACUGUACCAAAGUCCUGAGCUUUAAUAGUCUUGAAAUCCAUGAACUUAAACAUCUCUAUGAUAACCAGAACAUAUUUCGGACAUUCGAGGAUUGACUUGCUGUGUUAGAGGAUCAUCAGGUGAUGGAAGAAACCAGGCUUUUUUCGACUCAAUGUUGAUGAAACCUGAUCGACAUGCUCAUCUUGGUUGAGUAAGCCUGGGUUGAGUGUGUCCAAAAAGUAGGUAACCUGGUGAAAUCUUAGGAAAACAUUGUAACCAGAUCCAGGUUUAUUUGACUGACAGACCGAUGGACAGUGGGUCAACCGUAAAUCCCUUCAUGUGAAAACGGUAGGGACAAAAUAAAUAUCACAUUGCUCUUCUGAGUUCAUUUGUAAACCAAGUUUUAUCACAAAAUUAAAAUGGUCAAUGUAUUAUUUUGUGUAUUUAAAAAUUAUGUGAAUAUUAAGUUUCAUGAAAUCUUA